Molecule: long non-coding RNA, 599 nt
Filed under: Pongo abelii (Sumatran orangutan)
Lineage: Eukaryota; Metazoa; Chordata; Mammalia; Primates; Hominidae
Description: lincRNA
Source: RNAcentral
UAAUAGAUCACAACAAGAGAUUAUGAAGAGGCCAUGGCCGCCAUGUCAUUCUGGAGAGAGACAGAAUAAAACAAAGAAGACAGAGUCUUGCUCUGUAACCCAGGCUGGAGUGGAGGACAGUGGUGUGAUCUUGGCUCACUGCAACCUCUGCCUCCUGGGUUCAAGCGAUUCUCCUGCCUCAGCCUCCUGAGUAGCUGGGACUACAGCAGCCUCUCUACAAGUCUCCUAACUUAACCUUAUGGGAAAACGCUUCCUACCACUAAGGGCAUCUACUUGAUUACUGAUACUUUGAUCAUGCAGCUUUGGGCAUACCACUUGAUAGAAAUUUGAAGAGCAAUUAUAUUUUUCAAAAAGAGUUUUGAAUAAUGUUAAGAUAGAUUGCAUACAUGACUAUCAAUUCUUCCCUUCUCAUCAAAGGAGAGAGUCUGUUUAUCCAGCCUUUGAAUCUUGAUCAUUCACAUGACUUGCUUCACCCAAUGUAACAUUAAUAAGCGCAAUACAAGCAGAGGCUUGCCAAGAAUUUGGUUUGUUUCUAAUGCUUAGAAGAAGGAUGGUGUGUGCCAUAUUUCUGCAUUUAGAACUCACAUGGUGAUAUGUGU